CCUACGGGAGGCAGCAGUGAGGAAUAUUGGGCAAUGGACGCAAGUCUGAACCAGCCAUGCCGCGUGCAGGAUGACGGCCCUAUGAGUUGUAAACUGCUUUUGCACGAGGGUAAACCCCGUUACGUGUAUCGGGUUGAAUGUAUCGUACGAAUAAGGAUCGCCUAACUCCGUGCCAGCAGCCGCGGUAAUACGGAGGAUCCGAGCGUUAUACGGAUUUAUUGGGUUUAAAGGGUGCGUAGGCGGUUUGUUAAGUUAGAGGUGAAAUGUCGUGGCUCAACCCCGAAACUGCAUCUGAUAUUGUUGGACUAGAGAGUAGUAGCGGUAGGCGGAAUGUAUGGUGUAGCGGUGAAAUGCUUAGAGAUCAUACAGAACACCGGUUGCGAAGGCAGCUUACCAAACUAUAUCUGACGUUGAGGCACGAAAGCGUGGGUAGCAAACAGGAUUAGAUACCCUGGUAGUC
Molecule: ribosomal RNA, 460 nt
Filed under: uncultured bacterium
Lineage: Bacteria
Description: partial 16S ribosomal RNA
Rfam family: Bacterial small subunit ribosomal RNA
Source: RNAcentral